RNAcentral lists this small RNA (789 nucleotides) under Rattus norvegicus (Norway rat). RNAcentral's name for it is "uncharacterized LOC102554403". The record is from RNAcentral. Lineage: Eukaryota; Metazoa; Chordata; Mammalia; Rodentia; Muridae.
CCUGCCUGUCACAGCCCUGGGUCCCUUCAAACAGUAAAGGUUAAACAGAAAUUCCCACAGAACCCUCCAGUCAGGAUGAAAGGGCAAUGGGCAGACAGCUGCGGGCAGCAGAGAAUGUUUCAAGCCAACAAUGAUGGUGGCCCUCUGGAUGGGAGGGUUCAACAGGAAGUGAUUUGGCUGGCUGUUUGAAGCGUGUAUCGUGGUUUCUGUUGGAAAGCGAGUUAUCCUCAGAAAGUCCACAUGGAGCCGGGAGAUAAAACACAAAACAGCCCAGGGCUACAAGUCCCCGGUGAGUGCACAGGUCUAAGGAGCGGCCUCCAGCUGCUCUGCGAACUUCCCUAACAGAUUUCAGCCACCCAGAGAGCACCAAGGUGAGGACGAUGGGAGAAGACCACGUGGCAAGAAGACUCAAGGGGCCUCCACCUGACAACCCAUUGGCAGCUGUCACUAGGCACGAGACCCCUCCCCAGUCGAACUUCGGAUGGGACUUUAAUUCUACCCAAAACUGGAUUUAAGGCCUGCCAGGAGGUGCUGACUCGUGUUGUUUCAAGGCCCUAAAUGGGUGGUCAUUUGUUAUGUGGCAAAACAUCUUUAAUACAGCGGAGUAUCGAGUACCUAAGAUGCCUGACGUCCUGUAAGCACGAGGAUUAGCUCCGUGUGCUUCCAGCCCUAUGCUACUCACACAAAUCUGAGCAAGUGUAGCUACUGUUACAUGCUGGAUUGCAGGUCAUUGUCUUUCUAACUCCAGGCUACUCGUCCAACUUUAAAUCCUUAUUUUAUUAGAGCUCA